GAAACAGGGCAAGACAUCCCUUCCAGGCAAGAUAUCCUUUACAGAAGAAAAGUUCUGGAGAACUUAAGGCAGCUCUAGAAGGGAAGGGAGCAAGGGUUAAGGCGGCCCUCACAGCACAGCCUGAGAACAAAUUCCAAUGCACUCAUCCAUGAACAGAGGCCACGGCGGUACAGAGCCUCUUCAACGCGCAUGCGCAUGGCACCCCUCCUAGCACCGUCAACACCUGCAGCACAGCAUGCACACGCUGCGGGGCUCCCACACAGACUGACUUGUAGAUGACCCGUCCUGUGAACAGCCCUCAGAAGGUACCCAGUGGCUUGGGCUCCGUGUGCUGAGGACCUAAAUUGGGAAGGUGGCCUGUGGCUGUAGGCCUGUGCAGGCUGCGACGCUCACCUGGUAGUAGGGACACUGACGAUGGCGUGGAGAGUAACUCUCCUCUUAACUUCACAGAGGCUUUUGCUGCUUCCUGUCUUUUUGGUUGAGACAGCCUGCUACCAACUAAUCUCCAAACACAGAGUAGUGCACCCUCCCAGAGAGCACUGAUUCACGACAAAAGUCAAGCCUAGUUAUGGCAAGUAACUGACAAAAAAGAAAACCACUUGGUGCUGAGCACUUGGUCUCCUUAAAACAAGUAACUUGGUACUCAGCACUUGCUCAGUUCCCACAUGCCAGCUGCCAAUUCUGAUAAAAAAGCACCCCUUGUUGGCCUGGGGCAUUCCACAGGUACCAAGAGGGCAGCGGCAUGACCUCACAAUGUUUUUAAAUUCUCCUGACUCACAGGUGCCCAUGCCACUGCUCUGUAUGGGAAAGCGGGAUGGCUGGAGGGCUGUGUGACAUCAGGCAAGUCACUGACCCAUCUCUAUUCCCAAGCUAUCAUCGGCAAAUGAUUGUAGAAGCGACCCCAUCCACCGUCCAUGCUGCUGUGAGGAUGAAACGAGGUAACAGAGGAAAGCGCUUCAGGAAAGCGUAUCUGGACCCAGGUAUUGUUUCUGCACUACUUUCAGCAGGAUGCACUAGUUUGGCUCUGUUUUAUCAUAAGCAGCUGACAUUACCCAGAGGAUCCGUGUUUAUGCCUGCUAAGGAACUCUAUGAAUUGGAGACAGUGUGUGUGUGUGUGUGUGUGUGAGAGAGAGAGAGAGAGAGAGAGACAGACAGACAGACAGAGAGCAUUGUGUGAGGACUUCUCAGGAUGGUGGCAGGUGCCCAUUUUCCUAGGGUUACCAGGAAAGUAAUUUCUCACAACAACCACACGCUGAAAUUCUAAUAAUAUUUUCAUAGCCUCUCCUAAUAUGUAGCUGUAACCUUACUAAAAGAUUUGAUCUAUAUUACACAUAACUACUCACCCAGAAAAAGCCAACUCUAUCCAUUGAAAUGAAGAAAUAACAACAGCGCAAACCAUCCGAACUGACACUAAUCCCCAAAUCUCCUGUCAGUUGGUUUUGGAAUAUGUUUUUGUGCUUCUGCACCUGAUGAAAGAAGCAUCAGGUAUGUGGAAAUUUUUUAAACUUCCAAAGGAAUUAGAAGCUACACUUUGUGGAUUUUAUCCCAUAUUUAUCUUCCCUCCUUUUAGAGUUACUCUAGGCAGAUUAAAGCCUUAACCUGAGAAAAGCUGCAAGAAGGGAAAUUACUUUUAAUUUUUCAGCUUCAAGUUGUAAAAGUGUGAGUCUGCAUGUAGUAAGGUGAGUGGGGAGAGGAUUACUGAGACAAAAAACUGCUGUGACUUUUAAGGUCUCUUCCUUUGAAUUCCCAUUGUGUGUCACAGAGGAAUUAAGAAAAAGUCAAUCACUGGUCUUCUAAAGGAAUGUAUUGCAGAGAAGUGAGAACAAUAAGAACUGUGCGAAGAUUGGGCUGACGGUAAGCACCAGGAAGGCCAGCGGGGGCAACUGAAGACUGACUCCAUCCACCUGCCAUCAGUGCACAAACAGCAGGCAACAGGAUAGACAGACGAUUAAGUUGAGGGAAGGGGAAGAGUGAAUGAGUAAGUGAAAGGCUGGCAGGGUG
Long non-coding RNA from Sapajus apella (tufted capuchin), 2001 nucleotides. RefSeq lists it as uncharacterized. The record is from RefSeq and is a predicted model, not a curated record. The transcript has 2 exons. NCBI's taxonomy places the organism in Eukaryota, Metazoa, Chordata, Mammalia, Primates, Cebidae.